AAAGAAACCAACCGGGAUUGCCUCAGUAACGGCGAGUGAAGCGGCAAGAGCUCAAAUUUGAAAGCUGGCUCCUUCGGGGUCCGCAUUGUAAUUUGCAGAGGAUGCUUCGGGUGCAGCCCCCGUCUAAGUGCCCUGGAACGGGCCGUCAUAGAGGGUGAGAAUCCCGUAUGGGGCGGGGUGUCUGCGUCCGUGUGAAGCUCCUUCGACGAGUCGAGUUGUUUGGGAAUGCAGCUCUAAAUGGGUGGUAAAUUUCAUCUAAAGCUAAAUACUGGCCGGAGACCGAUAGCGCACAAGUAGAGUGAUCGAAAGAUGAAAAGCACUUUGAAAAGAGAGUUAAACAGCACGUGAAAUUGUUGAAAGGGAAGCGCUUGCAACCAGACUCGCUCGCGGGGUUCAGCCGGGCUUCGGCCCGGUGUACUUCCCCGCGGGCGGGCCAGCGUCGGUUUGGGCGGCCGGUCAAAGGCCUCCGGAAUGUAGCGCCCUUCGGGGCGCCUUAUAGCCGGGGGUGCAAUGCGGCCAGCCUGGACCGAGGAACGCGCUUCGGCACGGACGCUGGCAUAAUGGUUGUAAACGAC
Molecule: ribosomal RNA, 575 nt
Filed under: Aspergillus terreus
Lineage: Eukaryota; Fungi; Ascomycota; Eurotiomycetes; Eurotiales; Aspergillaceae
Also listed under: 4 other names
Description: eukaryotic LSU rRNA
Rfam family: Eukaryotic large subunit ribosomal RNA
Source: RNAcentral